RNAcentral lists this long non-coding RNA (1836 nucleotides) under Zea mays. RNAcentral describes it as "long non-coding RNA (ZMAY_LNC002111)". Lineage: Eukaryota; Viridiplantae; Streptophyta; Magnoliopsida; Poales; Poaceae. The record is from RNAcentral.
UCGCAGAAGUAGUUGCCGUCGUGAAGCAGUGAGCGCACCGAAAGGACAAAUCGUGCCGCCGUGGUUGAUUCGUGCAGAUGGCAACGUCGGGUCCUCGGUAGGCGGUAUUGGAGGACCACUAGUAUUAUCCGCACGUUGUCAAGACCUUUCUAGGCGAGGAGAUCCACCAUUGAUGCACCAAUUGCUCGCCGGGUUUUGAACUCCGCCGCCAAGCCAUUGUCUAUCGUGGUCAGCUCCGUCGUAGCUUCAACCCCGGGUAAGAACCCCACCAAACGACUCAUGUCUGUUCCCCCAUCGCGUUGCAGGGACGGAUUGAAGAAUGGCGCAUCAGGACUUGGGAUUGGUCGUGCGCCGACGACUUCCACCGUGGGUUUGGGGCGCCAGCGCCACUUUGGGUAGCCACCGGGGGCUUGGGUGGAGGCAUGUGCACUGUCCAUUGGAUGAAUAAGGGCCAAGAUUAGAUCCUGCUCACACCUCUUCAUGGGAGGAAUACUAGCCGCUAAUUCUUGGAUGAACGACCAUGAAUAGACGUACCCGUGCCGGUUCGGUCAGGUUAUGAGGGUCGUCCAUUGAGCGAUGGACGGAUAGGAUUAGCUCCCCAUUUCAUUAAAACAUAGCCAUCGAUCUCCAAUCUAGCGGAUGGCAUGGCAACAUGUACCGGUUCACAUGGGGGGCUGAUCUAAUCGGUGCCACUCGUGCUUGAUCGGGCGGCCAGGACUUAACCAUAUCCCUUCGGCCACGUGUUUAUGCAAAAGAGACCCUCAGAUUAUUACAAAUCAACCCGCCGUCCUCUCCUAUAGAAAAACUACACAAUCAGGCCCAGGUCUUUAUAAAAACAACCCUGAGAUUAUGAAAAUUUGUGGCCGUCGUCCACGUCCCUAGGAUAUUCAUAUAUUAAUACAAGGAAAUGAAUUAUCAGUACAUAGAUAAACCUAUAAUUUUCGAAAAUUCAUAACUUUUGCCUUUUAAUUCCGUUUUACCCCGUUCAAGUUGCGUUAGCUUCGUAUAAAUAUUUACUAUGCAGUAACAACAUUAAUUAUACCAUAUCACAUACUUUUAUAGUUAGAUAUUCAUUUAACAUAUGUCUACUAGAGUAACUCUUCUAAUCAGAGCUAACAUGUCCAUAAUUAUAAUUUGGUUAGAAUAUGAUCUCUAUUCAAGUUAUAAUUAAGAUUAAAGUGAAUUAAUUAUUUCUUUGGAUUAUCUUUAUCUCAUGGUUUAUAAAAUCAACUCAAAACCUAGUUUUAAUUACUUAAUCACUUAGGUCUUCCAAAAACCAUAUCUUACUAACAGUAACUCCAAUUUUAGUGGUUCUCGAACCUAGGUUCUUGAUACAACACGUAGAUUAUUAGUAUGCAGUUUGUUCUUAUGUUUGAUGUGAUGUUAAUUUUGCCUAUACCAUGGUUGUUUGUAUUGCUACAUUUAGCAGUGAGGUCGCGAGAAUCUGAAGAUCAUCCUGGUACCUGGAAUCUCAAGUCUAAGGCAAGUUGUGCCCUUGAUCACUUUUCUUUACCCAAUAAUGUUCAUGUUAAUCACGGUGACAUGCUCAGGUUAAUUUGAUGGGACCUAAUAGGUUUCUCUAGACUUGUUCAUCCUACACCUUGUUUACCAUGCAUUGAACUUUUAGGUAGCUUUGCUAAUGCUCUACCUGGUUUUGGGAUUAAUAUUACAUUAUGAUCAUGUUCCAAUUAUACUGUUGUUUUAAUUAUUGUUCAUGAUAAGAUCAUUGUGUUAAUUGGAACAUGAAGCUUAACUUGAGAAACACGUGCCACCACAAGGGUGGAAUGGGACGCCCUUGGCUGACUAAUUAGGAAAGCUAGUGGAGGACUACCUUAC